This 484-nucleotide ribosomal RNA is filed under the name uncultured bacterium. RNAcentral describes it as "partial 16S ribosomal RNA". It matches the Rfam family "Bacterial small subunit ribosomal RNA", at positions 30 to 507 of the family's 1533-position model. The record is from RNAcentral.
AUUGAACGCUAGCGGGAUGCUUUACACAUGCAAGUCGAACGGCAGCGCGGACUUCGGUCUGGCGGCGAGUGGCGAACGGGAGAGUAAUGUAUCGGAACGUGCCCAGUAGCGGGGGAUAACUACGCGAAAGCGUAGCUAAUACCGCAUACGCCCUACGGGGGAAAGCAGGGGAUCGUAAGACCUUGCACUAUUGGAGCGGCCGAUAUCGGAUUAGCUAGUUGGUGAGGUAACGGCUCACCAAGGCGACGAUCCGUAGCUGGUUUGAGAGGACGACCAGCCACACUGGGACUGAGACACGGCCCAGACUCCUACGGGAGGCAGCAGUGGGGAAUUUUGGACAAUGGGGGCAACCCUGAUCCAGCCAUCCCGCGUGUGCGAUGAAGGCCUUCGGGUUGUAAAGCACUUUUGGCAGGAAAGAAACGUCGCGGGCUAAUACCCCGUGGAACUGACGGUACCUGCAGAAUAAGCACCGGCUAACUACGUG